Molecule: ribosomal RNA, 676 nt
Filed under: uncultured marine eukaryote
Lineage: Eukaryota
Description: bacterial SSU rRNA
Rfam family: Eukaryotic small subunit ribosomal RNA
Source: RNAcentral
UGUUAAAAAGCUCGUAGUCGGGUCAAGAGUCGGACAGUGCACGGUGGCCCCAUUAGUCAAUUUGGCUCCGGUCAUGUUGGCGGUGGCGGAUCAACCCCGUGUGCCAAACUGUCCGCUCUAACAGACCGAAACGGUUCCCUGUGAGUAGGCCCCUUCAUUGGGGUCGAAAGCGUCUACGCAUCAACCAUAUGCAUACGGGACGUCGGUCAAAGUUACUGUGAACAAACCAGCGUGUCCAAAGCAGGCUUUCGCCUGAAUGUUCGAGCAUGGAAUAACAAGGGAUCGAUUCUCUCGGUUCUUUUUGUUGGUUUUAAACCCGAGAAGGAGUAAUUCAGGCCACGGUGUCUGAGUUGGGUUUCCCGAGGCUUCGGCUGAGGCCCCAAUUAGGCCGUGUCCUUACGGGAUCAAUAGGGACUGACGGGGUCGUACGUACUGUCGCGUCAGAGGUGAAAUUCGUAGAUCGCGGCAAGACGAACUUCUGCGAAAGCAUUCGACAAGAAUGUCUUCAUUAGUCAAGAACGAGAGUGUGGGGAUCGAAGAUGAUCAAAUACCGUCGUAGUCCACUACUGUAACAAUGCCGUCUCAGGAUUGAGAAGUGAACUGAAUGACAUUCACGGCACUAACCCCUGAAACGAGAAAUCAAAGAUUAUGGGUUCAGGGGGGAGUACAUUCGCAA